Melopsittacus undulatus (budgerigar) is the source of this 335-nucleotide long non-coding RNA. RefSeq lists it as uncharacterized. NCBI's taxonomy places the organism in Eukaryota, Metazoa, Chordata, Aves, Psittaciformes, Psittaculidae. The record is from RefSeq and is a predicted model, not a curated record. The transcript is spliced from 4 exons.
CGCCGUUGUGAGGCGCCGGUCGGCGGUGGCGAGGCCGGGUGGCAGGCUCAGGGCUAAGCGCGGUCUCGGCGGGUGGCGGUUCCGCCAGCGACUGGCGGGGCCGGAGCGAGAUGGAACCGUGACCAGAUUUGUGCUUUCUGCCGAAAGAAGAAAGAGGCUCAGGGCUGAAAGCAGAUGCCACAAGCUUUUCACAAGGAGUGACUGAGGAGAGAGCUGCUGGCAUGGAAUUGAGCUGGGUUUGCCCGUGGGAACUGUGAGUAAGGUUGCCAUCACGAAAGCCAAAGUGGAUUUCUCCGGUGUGGUGUGCCUGCCCCCUUCCGUCAUUGCUGGAAAUG